GUCUCUUUGUUAUUUACAUAUAUAAAGAGUCGGGCCUGCUCGGUGAUUGAAUUUUAACAGCUGCGGUAUUUUAACUGUACUAAGGUAGCAUAAUAAUUUGCCUUAUAAUUUGAGGCUAGAAUGAAUGGUUUGACGAAGGUUAAUCUGUCUCUAUCCUAUUUUUUAGAAAUUAAUUUUUAAAGUGAAAAAGCUUGAAUUUUUUAAAGGGACGAGAAGACCCUAUUGAGCUUAUAAUUUUAUUCUUGUUUUUAGUAUUAGUAAAUGAGAUAUAAAUUUUAAUUGGGGUGAUUAAGGAAUAAAAAUGUAUUAACUUCCUUACAUUUUAUAUUGUUAGGUAAAGUAACCAAUAAAUUAUUGCUUAUAAUACAGUUACCAUAGGGAUAACAGCGUAAUUUGUUUAGAGAGUUCUUAUUGAAAAACAAGAUUGCGACCUCGAUGUUGGAUUAAAGUAACCUUAAGGUGCAGAAGCUUUAGAAAGGUAAAUCUGUUCGAUUUUUAAAACUUUACA
Molecule: ribosomal RNA, 508 nt
Filed under: Histioteuthis corona
Lineage: Eukaryota; Metazoa; Mollusca; Cephalopoda; Oegopsida; Histioteuthidae
Description: partial 16S ribosomal RNA
Rfam family: Bacterial large subunit ribosomal RNA
Source: RNAcentral